UGUCUGCAUGAGGGGUGAGGCGGUGACGGCAGAAGCGCACAGAGUGACAAACAACGUUAAGGUGUGCAGCCGCUCUAACGGUGAAAUGAAGUGUGCGUGUGUUCCGUAGAGUUUCUUGGACGGAGAGCAGAGGAGGAGAGUCUGCCGGGCAACAGCGGAGAAGAAAAACGGCACCAACCAGCACACCGUGUCACGUCUCAUUUUGGAACGAUGCUCUUCAAAUACUUCAUCACCGGCCCUCUCAGUUUCACUGCAGACGCUGGCUGACCUCAUUGAGUGACCUCACCAAUCACAGAUCAAAGUCAUCGGGUUUCUGGCUGGUCAGGUUAAUCAGAGGACCACCCUGAAGAACCAAUCAGGUUGCAGUGUGUUUGUGAGUCUCUUGGGUGACAUCCAUCAUUCGAAUGGAUAGAGGCUAUGCAACAGCAGCACUACAGCGAAAGGAGGGCAGGGCGUAUUCCCUUUCCAAAAUCCACAGAAACACCAGUCUGGAAUCAAUUUGCUAUCAUACUACUGACCCUAAAACACACACAAACACACACAUUUUAAACCCUAACCCUGGUGAGACUGGCCUGUGCUAUUUUUCAUCCCUGUAAGUUUAUGCGUUGUAAUGUUGUAUCAGGUCUGGGAUAUGGUUCUCUGCUACAUCUCUGACUUCACCUGCUGCUGAAGCUCUUUACCAGAGCACUGGGAGUUAACUGCUGCCAUAAAUAGUCAAAGGAGUGUGUGCAGCGAUCUGCAGGGCAGUGCAGGGCAAAGAUAUAUCUGACAGGAAAAGAGCAAAUCUCCUCUCCAUGCUACAUGCUGUAAAAAGUCACGUUUCAGCGCUUAAACCUUCAGAUCAGAGAAGUUGAUUUUUGAAGAAAUAAAUAAAUAAAUAAAGAGAAAGUAUGUGAGGUGUCUGCUGUACACUUAAUUUGAUUUGCUAGCUACUGUCUCAAAAAUAGAUUGCACAUGGACAGAGCAUUUACAACAUUACAUAAAUCAAGUCAGUUCAGAGGAGAAGAGUAUCAAAAUAAAUUUUUCAUUCGUGAAGCCACAUACAGUAUGUAUUAAGUAGUAUAAUAAGGAGAGUUUGACAUCAUUACCAUCAAUGCAGAGGUGUAGAUAUAAAGUGAACAUACUGUAUACAGAGGCCUCAUUGAUGAAAACAUGCUUUUUUUUUUAAGAGUAGUUGAUCUUUUCAUUUUCAUUAAAUCAGUCAUUCUUAUGCUUGCUCUCAAUGACCGCCGAGCAAAAAAGCUUCUAGUUAGCUCCUAAUUGUCAGUUAUAUUUGCAGAACAGAGUUUGAUUGCAUUGACGCUGCAUGCAUAUGGAUUAAUAAAAAUGAGUUAAGUUAGGUCUCAUGUAGAUGUGUUUAUUAAAUGGACAUGUGAUUGAAAAUUACUAAAAGUUCAUGUUCUGUUAGCAUACAUUAGACAUAUAUAUUUAGAACCCUUCAUGAUCAGAAAAUGUCAUCUAGAUUAAAAGACAUUGUUUUCAGGCUCUGGCCAGUUGACAGCUAACUGUGUAAAAUUUGCUGUGAGGUGGUGCAAUGGGCGUCAUUAAGACAAAAAAAAAAUUCUGGACUUGUGGUAGCACUAAAGAAAAGCAAAGAAAUAUUAAGAUUAAUCCGCUGGAUACCACAAAUAUCCAGAGCAAAUUUCAUGGAAAUCUGGCAAUUGUUCGAGUGUUACAUGAACAACCAACUAACAUCGCAAUCAUUAUCCAGGACAAUAGCAGAACAAAAAAGAUUAUUUUUUUGAGACUAAAAUGGACCUCCUAUUCUUUUAUCAUGUCUGUUUUUAUGAACUAUUAAAAACAUCUGUGGCUUGUUAAUUAUAAUAUAUAAUAUAACACUCCAGUAAAUGAACAGACAGUGUAUUGUUCCUCUGUGGCUCUUUGCUGCCUCACCUCUGCCUCUGCCUGCUUAAUUAAAGGUUAAUUGCGUAGAAUAAGUAUGCACCUCUUGCAAAUGGUCCACAUUUCUUUUUCCAUCCAUGCAGAGCCGAGCUUGUGUGUUGGUUGGGUAGGAGAUCUGGAAUUUAUCAACUUGUUCAGGAAAUGAGAGCCAAGCUUUACCUAACUCAAUGUGUGAGCAGGUACAAAACCAACAUAUGGGAGUGUGUGUAAAGUGUGUUCUCACACACCAUCCAUACACACACACACAAACACAGAAGAAUUCAGUACUCCCUCUGUCAUUUUUAAUCAAGAAUAUGAUCCCUCAUCCCAUCUGGGUUUUUUGACUUGGUGGGCUGCAGUGCGCACACAAUAACACAUCCGCUUAUGAACACUCUCACACACACACACGAUACACACACACACAUGCAUAUGCAAACACGGAUAGACAAUCUGUGUGGUUGCUGAAGCUGAGACCACCAACUGUAUGCUGGGGGUUGGCUUAGCCAUCACAAAGAGCAGAUGGUACUACUCUUGUUUUUAACAGGGGCAGCCAUUGUAGUAGCCGCUCUGACACAAACACACACACAGCCAAACACACGCAUACACAAAAACUAUCUCGGUUUUCAAAAACAAUCCGAUCAGAAAAGCAAUGCAGUUGGCAUGUAGUGGCAGAGAAUAGGUAUAUUUUAUAGUACAAUGUUAUAAUCCCUUGUAUUUAACUUAGUCGUUUGUGUGUCUGUUGUUCUUGUGUCUUUGUUCACCUUCAGGUUCAUUUAGUCAAGUAAAUCCUUGUCCUACUGUCAGAGGCCUCCUUAUCACACCAUGAUCCCCUCCGCUCACUCACUGAAUUUGCUUGUGUGUGUGUGUGUGUGUAUGUACGAGGACAGAGGUCGAUAAGAUAACAUUUGGUGGACCACCUGCCGGGAAGCUCAGUUUGCUAAAUACAAAGUCUCAUCUAACACAUACAUAUAACUGUGUGUGUGUUGGGGGUUUACCGUUUACCUGAACAACUGAGGUGCAAUAGUAUUUGAUUACUGAUAAUGUUAUGAGGACAAGACCCACGUAAAAAAGAAGUGCAAAACAUACAAGCUGUGAGUUUUUACCCAUACAAGAAGAUCAUACAGACAUGUGAACAUGUGAAAUCCGCACACAAAAAAAACUUACAGGUCAUCUCAAGAUUAUGUUACUCUGCCAUAACUCUUCCUCUAACGUCAAUUUAAAAAAAAGACAGAAAUGAAUUUACAGAGACCAAUUUAUAAAAGCAAUCUCCAUCUUAAUUAGUUUGUAUUCCUAAAGCUGUCCCUGUGACAGGAAAACACAACCACAUGUCACCUUUGUUUAUCAUAAGUUCAGAGUCAGAAGGAAAGUGUUACUAUGGGAGUGGACAUUAACAAGUUCUGCUACCAGCUCAGUGCCUCAUAACCUGGUGAGAGAGGGGUGUCUACAUCAUUAGAUUUAACUAGCUACACUGAUAGCAACUCACAGGGUGGUUCACACACAGAAACAGAGAGAGAGGGAGAGAUUGAGACGAAGAAAGAGAGGACUAAAAAUAAUAGUUCUUAAUAUUUCUGUUGUUGUGUUCACGGGCACAGUAUAGAUUAAAUAAAGACGUGAAUUCACUCAGCAAUAAGUGACUGAAAACAGUUGUUCACUGUGCUCGUUCAGCCGUGCGUAUGUACAAGGUUGGACACGCACUUGCAGUGUGUAGAUGUGUGUGCGCGUUCCUCACAACUAAAGGAAUUUUAAUUGUCUGAGACAAAGGAGGAUUUAAUUUUUUCCCUGUACAUCUAUCUUUCACUCCUUCGCUCUCUUUGCUUUUUUUUUCACCGUCCUUUCUUCCAUGAAACAAUAAAAUCGUCUGGCCUCUAAGUUAUGGAGAGCUUUUGAAGUGGCUGGAGGAGCCAGUAAAUUUAGUGGGCACCUUUGGGAGCCUGUUCAGUGGUGCAGUGGCUGCACCUAUAUUUCAUGUGUGCAUGUGCACGUGCCUUCAUGAGUGUGUGUUUGCACGUGCAUGUGUCCAGGCUGUGCCUCUUUUUCUGUGUGUGACACAAAUGGGCUUAGAUUUGGUGUGUGCACAUGCAUGUGUGUGUGUGUGGCUAAAUGUUCGUGUAUCUCUCUAUUUCAUAGUCAUGCUGAUUUGUGGCCGUCUACAUUAGGUUUCCCAGGAUGGCGUAAAUCUCGCUGGACAAACUGCAUUAGAGAUAGAUAUGUAUGCACGUGUUUGUGUAUGAGUAUGUGAAUGAACUUGCACGAGGGCUAUGUAUUGUAUAGUUUGGGUACUGCGCUGUCUUUGACCAUCUGUGGCCAACCAGUGCCCAUAGUUUUUGCAAUGUAUCUGAUACCACUGGUGCUAGUAUGCCUUUAUUUGAGGUUGUUCUAUACAUUGAAUCUGUGGCGAAUACAGUCGAUAAAAUAAAUCUCUCUGGCUGUGUGUUAAGUCUAGCAAAUGCGUGAUUUCACACAUUUAUUAAUCUUUUCUCUUAUUUCUCCACUUCUGCCUUUACAGUUUUAUCACAUAUUCUCAAUAUCUAUUGCAAGCAUAUUAUAAGACAGGCUGCUAUUUGUUUUUAGUUGGUUGUUAGUUGCAGGACAUAUGUGCUUUGUGUUAUGUUUAAGUACAAUGUCUAACAGAAGACAACUAAGCAUAACCUGUCAUUUUUUGUUGCCACUACUUUUUGAAGUCAGCUUGGUGUCUCUGUGCCCUGACCCAUUUUAGACUGGUGACUUGAUCCUUUCUUGAAACACCCAUCCCGUAACCCCACAUGGCCAAGUCAUACAGGAGUUAUAGCACCACUAAAACAUUGUGCCUCACUUUUUAGACAGUAAUACUGUAGCUCCAUAUAGCUGACAGCACUGGCUACAACUCAAUUCAGAGAUAUCUCACUCCUCCAUCAGGUAGAGGUCUGUGAAGGCCCAGCAACAACAUGAAAGUUGAGACAGAAGAUCCCAGGUCAGUUCUCAGAUUAGAGAUCAGUAUAGGGUUCACUGUCUUGCUCAAAGGCACUUCAGCAAGGACAUACAUAACAGUUCAUCCAACCUGCCACCCAAACUCAAUUAUCUCCAUUCACCAGAUCCACCUGCUCCCUGCACAACACAAAACCACGUCCCAUCUCAUCUUCCACAACUUUAACCAUCCAAGCCCCUCUUAACGCUCUGUCUGCCACUUCUCAUUCAUAAUUGUCUGCCUCCAAGAUCUGCACUGUCCCAAUACAAUAUGUAUGUGCUGAAAUAAUGGCACUGUGUUUAUACCUAUUUUGAUCUCUUUGCCAUCUCUUCACUCAUUUGUUGCAUCCCAGUUUAUUAAUCUUAUAUAUCACAAUGCAUAUGUAUUAUAAUACUCAGCAACAAAUGCAUCAUCUGAAGUUAGUGAUGGAAGAUGGGAAAUGUGGAAACAGAAAAGAUGAAAAGAUGUAGAUGUAAAGAUACAAUAUGCAGCAGGAGAAAAUUAAUAGCUGUUUUUAAAAAUAACUUCUUUCUCUUCUGUCUCUUUCUGCUCCUGUCUCUCUUUUUCCUCCACCUCCCUCCCUCCCUCUUUCCUAGACACCUGUGCAGGUCUAGUGUUUCAGCCGAGUCCCUGAAAAAUAAAUGUGGAGCUUCAAUCUCUUAAUCCACUCGGCUCCACGCAGCCACGUCACAUGACACCGCCACGGCCGUCCCAAUGCCCAGACAACAUUGGAGGGAGAGAUUGUUUUGUGUGUGUGUGUGU
Long non-coding RNA from Morone saxatilis (striped sea-bass), 5587 nucleotides. RefSeq lists it as uncharacterized. NCBI's taxonomy places the organism in Eukaryota, Metazoa, Chordata, Actinopteri, Moronidae. The transcript has 3 exons. The record is from RefSeq and is a predicted model, not a curated record.